CCUACGGGUCGCAGCAGUCGAGAAUCUUUCACAAUGGGGGCAACCCUGAUGGAGCGACGCCGCGUGGAGGAUAAGGUCUUCGGAUUGUGAACUCCUGUCAUGCGUGAACAAGGUUGCCUGGUUAAUACCUGGGCAAAUUGAUGGUAACGCAAGAGGAAGAGACGGCUAACUCUGUGCCAGCAGCCGCGGUAAUACAGAGGUCUCAAGCGUUGUUCGGAAUCACUGGGCGUAAAGGGUGCGUAGGUGGCGUGGUAAGUCAGAUGUGAAAGCCCGGGGCUCAACCUCGGAACUGCAUCCGAUACUGCUGUGCUAGAGUACCGGAGAGGUGACUAGAAUUCUCGGUGUAGCAGUGAAAUGCGUAGAUGUCGAGAGGAAUACCAAAGGCGUAGGCAGGUCACUGGACAGUUACUGACACUGAGGCACGAAGGCCAGGGGAGCAAACGGGAUUAGAUACCCUCGUAGUC
Molecule: ribosomal RNA, 464 nt
Filed under: uncultured bacterium
Lineage: Bacteria
Description: bacterial SSU rRNA
Rfam family: Bacterial small subunit ribosomal RNA
Source: RNAcentral